GGUUUUAGGGGUUUAGAGUUAGGGUUAGGGCUAUCUAUUAGCACUACGGUAGCAUUUUUCGACAGAACACUCACAAACACCAGGAGUGGAAGACUGAAGGCCACGGGAAGCCAAACGUGACCCUGUCACUGGAGGGGAGAAAUGAUCCCCGAAAUGGGACAAGGAGCAUCUCCGCCACGGCCGGACAGGUCGGGCUUGAUGAGGUUGUCGUCCUGCUUCUCUAUCCUGUAGUUCCUUUCACUCAUCCGGUCCUGCACGGCCUUCACCAGUCUGGCCGUCUGAUCCCCAUAUUCCACUGAGGCCACCUCCAUCACUGGUUAUGAUACGUAGGACAGUUGAGUCCCAGCUCCCUUAGGUAUGGAACAAGGCUGGACACCUUUCCCUGAUAGAUGCACUGGCCUUGGCUCAGGACGUAGAGCUAUGAACAGCCAUGGAUAAGCCGCAAUUAGGCAAUGUCCAUCACAACCGAGCCUUCAAGAGCGAGAUCACUUGGAAGCAGGAGGAGCUGUCCAGGCCACUGCAGGGGACCACAACAAGGGAAAGUCUUCAUCAAGGGUUCAUACUCCCGACGGUGUUUCUGACCGGGACUCGUACUCCCGACCGCGUUUCUGACCGGGGCUCGUACUCCCGACCCCGUUUCUGACCGGGACUCGUACUCCCGACCCCGUUUCUGACCGGGACUCGUACUCCGGACCCCGUUUUUGACCGGGACUCGUACUCCCGACCGCGUUUCUGACCGGGACUCGUACUCCCGACCGUGUUUCUGACCGGGGCUCAGACUCCCGCCCGUGUUUCUGACCGGGGCUCAGACUACGGACCGCGUUUCUGACCGGGGCUCGUACUCCCGACCCCGUUUCUGACCGGGGCUCGUACUACCGACCGCGCUUCUGACCGGGGCUCGUACUACCGACCGCGCUUCUGACCGGGACUCGUACUCCCGACCGCGUUUCUGACCGGGGCUCGUACUCCCGACCCCGUUUCUGACCGGGGCUCGUACUCCCGACCCCGUUUCUGACCGGGGCUCGUACUACCGACCGCGUUUCUGACCGGGGCUCGUACUACCGACCGCGUUUCUGACCGGGGCUCGUACUACCGACCGCGUUUCUGACCGGGGCUCGUACUCCCGACCGCGUUUCUGACCGGGGCUCAGACUCCCGACCGUGUUUAUCUUCAUCAGCCAAUGCCCUGCUGAAGCUUGUCUCAAACACUGCUUUGCCUUCAGGUUGGCCAGCUUCCCUGUCUGCAAACCAAUCAUGCAGUGUACUUGUUGACCCAAGGAAUUACUUCAUAUUAUAAUCUUAUGAUAACUCAGAGGAUGCCCUGAAGCACAGACUGAGCUGUUAAAGCUUGUUUCCUGCCAGGGUGAGAUUAGACCUCUCAUUACAGGUGGGAAAUGAGGCUACAGAACAAAGAACUAGAAAUACAACAUUAAAACAUGAAUACAAAGGAAUACAGAGGAGGAGGGAGGUACUGUUCAAAAUUCCUGGAAGAUUUAACUCUAGUUAAAGAGAAAGAACUGGAGAUAAGAAAACACUAUCGUUUCAAACGAGUACUAAACAAUACUCACUAGCACUUUACUUGAGGCGGCACAAAUAAUGUAGUCGUACACUCUUAAUAUAUUAAUUAACUAGAAACUGUUAGUUACGUACUGAUCCAAUGUUUGUUCAUCAUUAAUCUGCCCAAAUGGU
Long non-coding RNA from Paramormyrops kingsleyae, 1688 nucleotides. RefSeq lists it as uncharacterized. The record is from RefSeq and is a predicted model, not a curated record. Lineage: Eukaryota; Metazoa; Chordata; Actinopteri; Osteoglossiformes; Mormyridae.